GUACUCGAAUUGUAACUAUCCUAUGUAUUUAUGACUGGUUCAAAAGAGAGAAAAAAAUCGUCAAGGUAGUGGAUCUCGACAGGGUCGACAUGAGAACACAUGUGCAAUCAACGAUUGUAAUGAUGCCACGUCAUUAUUAUGUUACAUCUCUCGUUUUUCAUGUGUUCUCAGGUCACCCCUGCUGAGCUCUUUCUCUACCGUCCAAACAGCCAAACUUAUCAACGUCGGUGACUUCAUUCAUUCACCAAAUUAAUGGGAUGAGAGACUGACAAAGAAACAGAACUAGGCAAAAAGAAACCAAAACAAUGAUCGAGUUGAUCAAAAUGUUUGUGAUGUUAUCUAUUUUUUUUCUUUGUUUUUCUUCUUCUUUGACGUCAACACUACUACACUAGGAGUUGAUUUGUUACAGUCACUUAGUCUAAGUAUUACCCUCCAAUAUAUUCAAAGAUAUGCAAACUAACUCUGGUUUGUUUUGCAAUAGCGUCA
Camelina sativa (false flax) is the source of this 486-nucleotide non-coding RNA. The record is from RefSeq and is a predicted model, not a curated record. Lineage: Eukaryota; Viridiplantae; Streptophyta; Magnoliopsida; Brassicales; Brassicaceae.